GCCGGCUUAGCUCAGCGGUAGAGCAGCGGUUUUGUAAACCGAAGGUCGGGGGUUCAAUCCCCUCAGCCGGCACCG
RNAcentral lists this transfer RNA (75 nucleotides) under Pseudolabrys taiwanensis. RNAcentral describes it as "tRNA-Thr". It matches the Rfam family "tRNA". Rfam says of the family: Transfer RNA (tRNA) molecules are approximately 80 nucleotides in length. Their secondary structure includes four short double-helical elements and three loops (D, anti-codon, and T loops). Further hydrogen bonds mediate the characteristic L-shaped molecular structure. tRNAs have two regions of fundamental functional importance: the anti-codon, which is responsible for specific mRNA codon recognition, and the 3' end, to which the tRNAs corresponding amino acid is attached (by aminoacyl-tRNA synthetases). tRNAs cope with the degeneracy of the genetic code in two manners: having more than one tRNA (with a specific anti-codon) for a particular amino acid; and 'wobble' base-pairing, i.e. permitting non-standard base-pairing at the 3rd anti-codon position. RNAcentral also lists the same sequence under 2 other names. The record is from RNAcentral. Lineage: Bacteria; Pseudomonadati; Pseudomonadota; Alphaproteobacteria; Hyphomicrobiales; Xanthobacteraceae.